RNAcentral lists this ribosomal RNA (40 nucleotides) under Biomphalaria tenagophila. RNAcentral's name for it is "partial 28S ribosomal RNA". Lineage: Eukaryota; Metazoa; Mollusca; Gastropoda; Planorbidae. The record is from RNAcentral.
CUCCGACCUCAGAUCGGGCGAGAUUACCGCUGAACUUAAG